RNAcentral lists this ribosomal RNA (318 nucleotides) under uncultured bacterium. Its description in RNAcentral is "partial 16S ribosomal RNA". It matches the Rfam family "Bacterial small subunit ribosomal RNA", at positions 1111 to 1416 of the family's 1533-position model. The record is from RNAcentral.
UUNAAUGNUUGGGGCCAANUUNNAAGGGAAAAUCGGCCGGGGGGAACCAAAACCGGAAGGGAAGUUGGGGAUGAAGUUCAGUUAUCNUGGGCCCUUAACGGGCCUNGGGGCUAACAACACGUGGUACAAUUGGUCGGUACAAAAGGGUUGCCAAGCCGCGAGGUGGAGCUAAUCCCAUAAAACCGAUCGUAGUCCGGAUCGCAGUCUGCAACUCGACUGCGUGAAGUCGGAAUCGCUAGUAAUCGUGAAUCAGAAUGUCACGGUGAAUACGUUCCCGGGCCUUGUACACACCGCCCGUGAAUCACUAGUGAAUUCGCG